AGACCGAUAGCGAACAAGUACAGUGAUGGAAAGAUGAAAAGAACUUUGAAAAGAGAGUGAAAAAGUACGUGAAAUUGUUGAAAGGGAAGGGCUUGAGAUCAGACUUGGUAUUUUGCAUGNUGCUCUCUCGGGGGCGGCCGCUGCGGUUUACCGGGCCAGCAUCGGUUUGGAGCGGCAGGAUAAUGGCGGAGGAAUGUGGCACGGCUUCUGCUGUGUGUUAUAGCCUCUGACGAUACUGCCAGCCUAGACCGAGGACUGCGGUUUUUUACCUAGGAUGUUGGCAUAAUGAUCUUAAGUCUCCCGUCUUGAAACACGGACCAAG
Molecule: ribosomal RNA, 322 nt
Filed under: Candida albicans
Lineage: Eukaryota; Fungi; Ascomycota; Pichiomycetes; Serinales; Debaryomycetaceae
Description: LSU rRNA
Rfam family: Eukaryotic large subunit ribosomal RNA
Source: RNAcentral